Molecule: ribosomal RNA, 199 nt
Filed under: uncultured bacterium
Lineage: Bacteria
Description: partial 16S ribosomal RNA
Rfam family: Bacterial small subunit ribosomal RNA
Source: RNAcentral
ACGCUCGACACCUACGGGAGGGCAGCAGUGGGGAAUAUUGCACAAUGGGGGAAACCCUGAUGCAGCGACGCCGCGUGGAGGAAGAAGGUCUUCGGAUUGUAAACUCCUGUUGUUGGGGAAAAAGAGGAUGGUACCCAACAAGGAAGUGACGGCUAACUACGUGCUAGCAGCCGCGGUAAUCUGAGCGGGCUGGCAAGGC